This 447-nucleotide ribosomal RNA is filed under the name uncultured bacterium. Its description in RNAcentral is "partial 16S ribosomal RNA". It matches the Rfam family "Bacterial small subunit ribosomal RNA", at positions 328 to 792 of the family's 1533-position model. The record is from RNAcentral.
GCUCCAGACUCCUACGGGAGGCAGCAGUGGGGAAUAUUGCACAAUGGGGGAAACCCUGAUGCAGCGACGCCGCGUGAGUGAAGAAGUAAUUCGUUAUGUAAAGCUCUAUCAGCAGGGAAGAAAAUGACGGUACCUGACUAAGAAGCCCCGGCUAACUACGUGCCAGCAGCCGCGGUAAUACGUAGGGGGCAAGCGUUAUCCGGAUUCACUGGGUGUAAAGGGAGCGUAGACGGCGACGCAAGUCUGGAGUGAAAGCCCGGGGCCCAACCCCGGGACUGCUCUGGAAACUGCGGCGCUGGAGUACGGGAGGGGCAGGCGGAAUUCCUGGUGUAGCGGUGAAAUGCGUAGAUAUCAGGAGGAACACCGGCGGCGAAGGCGGCCUGCUGGACCGUGACUGACGUUGAGGCUCGAGAGCGUGGGGAGCAAACAGGAUUAGAUACCCUGGUA